Molecule: ribosomal RNA, 429 nt
Filed under: Chloroflexota bacterium
Lineage: Bacteria; Bacillati; Chloroflexota
Description: Chloroflexi bacterium partial 16S ribosomal RNA
Rfam family: Bacterial small subunit ribosomal RNA
Source: RNAcentral
UGGGGAAUAUUGCACAAUGGGCGCAAGCCUGAUGCAGCCAUGCCGCGUGUAUGAAGAAGGCCUUCGGGUUGUAAAGUACUUUCAGCGGGGAGGAAGGGAGUAAAGUUAAUACCUUUGCCCAUUGACGUUACCCGCAGAAGAAGCACCGGCUAACUCCGUGCAAGCAGCCGCGGUAAUACGGAGGGUGCAAGCGUUAAUCGGAAGUACUGGGCGUAAAGCGCACGCAGGCGGUUUGUUAAGUCAGAUGUGAAAUCCCCGGGCUCAACCUGGGAACUGCAUCUGAUACUUGCAAGCUUGAGUCUCGUAGAGGGGGGUAGAAUUCCAGGUGUAGCGGUGAAAUGCGUAGAGAUCUGGAGGAAUACCGGUGGCGAAGGCGGCCCCCUGGACGAAGACUGACGCUCAGGUGCGAAAGCGUGGGGAGCAAACAGG